Zingiber officinale is the source of this 1099-nucleotide long non-coding RNA. RefSeq lists it as uncharacterized. Lineage: Eukaryota; Viridiplantae; Streptophyta; Magnoliopsida; Zingiberales; Zingiberaceae. The transcript is spliced from 4 exons. The record is from RefSeq and is a predicted model, not a curated record.
AAUUGGAAAAGCCCUAAAUUUAUUUCUUUUUCCUUAUUUCUUCUCAUUUGCACCGAUUCCCCUUUCUCUUCUUCUCGUGCCUUAGCCAUCACCACCGCCCGAACUCCUCUUCCUCUUCCUCUUGCCUCUGCCCAAUGCCGUCGACGUUGCCCGACACUGAUGGAUCGUCGACGCUGCUGUGGGAAGGAGGCAGUUGUUGAUCUCUUCAUCGCCACUCCUCUCCUUUCUCUCUGUGUCGAGUUCCCCUCUUCCUCGUGAUUUCCUCUUCUCCCAUGUUCUGCCCGACGUUGCCAUCCCGUCACCAUCGCCGAUCAUCGUUCACUGUCACCUCAUCGCCUCCUCGACCGAACGUGGCUAGCUCGCAACCAGACAUGACCAGCCCACAACCACUGCUGCUCACCCUAAUUUCGGUCAGUGCCCUAGUUCUCCAUCAUCGUGCCCUAUUUUCCAGAUGCCGCCUUCACCACUGCGCAUGCCACUUGGAUCUCUCCGACGAGAUCUCUGGCUGGGUCAACGACAGCCUUGAUAGGAAUCGAGGCUCCUUGUGCCCGUAGGUUGGUUCUUUGCUGCCAUCUUCCCUUAGGAAAUGCUCUACUUGUAGAUCCACUGUCAGCGUCUCAUAACCCUAUCGAGCCCUCUUCUCCCUCGACAUUAGUCUGAGCAGAAGGUUUAAUGCACUACCUCUCAGUUGUUGUGGCCUCUUCAAUUAGUGCUUCAUCUGAUGAGAUACUGCCGCUAGCUCUCCGUCGCCCGUCGAUCUGCUGUUGGAGCAAUAAUUGACAAUCAAGGAAGCAGGAGCUCCAUUUCCUCACCAUUUGAUCUGAGUUAUUCAUUUGAGCGAUUGGGAUUCUGAACUUGGUUGUGGUUAGUCAUUAAGCCCCAGCUGUACUGUUCAUGAGCGAUCCACAACUUCGACCACUUUUCCAAUAGUAAACUUCCCCGGUCACAGGUCAACGACUGCACAAUUGGUUUUGGGAUAUUAGUCAGAGACACGUCUCAACGUGGGAUUGUAUUGGCACGAUUUUCGCAAUGAAGGCAGGUUGAGGCCGUCAGGAGAGAUUCCAGUCGCUAGCCCCUUUGUCGCGAGGAUUUCUAGAUA